AGUUCAAAACCACCUAGAACUCAAGUAAAUAAAUAAAAUAAAAAUCGGCCACCACCGGUUCUUCCGGCCAACCGACAGUCAGCACAACUCUGACGGCUGGAUAGGAUUCUGUGGGCCAAUCACCAGCAAGUCCGAAAAGCAAUUAAUUCGAACAGGCCUCGGAUAUCGGACGAACCACAGAAUAAGAUGGAAGAGGCUUGUAGUUCUAUGCUCCACAUAAGGAGAUCAAAAGAUUCACUGAUACAGCGCCUGAUGUCCUUAAGGAGCAUAUAUACAUAGUAAUAUGUUUAAAUAUUAAGUACACAUAUUAUCGUGGGCGCUCCUUGGAAAGAAUUUAUGUUUACAACAGCGACAUAAAUUUAAAAGAUAAAGUAAGACCUAUACGAUGUCAAAGAGUCACGAUGCAAUCUCCUAGGCCUAAUUUUCCGGCGAAAGGAGUGGAUAUUAUACAAACGUUUGGAUUUUCAAUAGCUGAACCGCUCGAUAUAUAAAUAACAAUGAAUUAGUAAAUUAUUGUGCGACUUUGUAUUAUCUUUUAUUUGUAGAGUAAGCUUAGUUGAAAGGAAUUUAUUAUUUUGUUAGUUCAUUUUUUUGUUAAAUCCGAAGAAAGUUUAUUAAUAAAUUACUGAUAAUUCUAAACUAUUUGAAUAAAUAAAAUUAAUAACAGCAAUUAAUAAAACAUCAAACGGUAGGUUUUUCCAAUUGAAUUGUUGCUUUUUAUAGUUUUGAACUAAUGAAAUUAAGUAAAGUUAUUAGCAUUGCGAAUAACGUUUACAUGUGUUAAUUAAUUUAAAUAUUAAUUUAAAUAAUAUAAUAAAAUAUAUUAUUUGCAACCCUA
Long non-coding RNA from Wasmannia auropunctata (little fire ant), 838 nucleotides. RefSeq lists it as uncharacterized. The transcript has 2 exons. The record is from RefSeq and is a predicted model, not a curated record. Lineage: Eukaryota; Metazoa; Arthropoda; Insecta; Hymenoptera; Formicidae.